This 253-nucleotide ribosomal RNA is filed under the name uncultured bacterium. RNAcentral's name for it is "partial 16S ribosomal RNA". It matches the Rfam family "Bacterial small subunit ribosomal RNA", at positions 524 to 776 of the family's 1533-position model. The record is from RNAcentral.
UACGAAGGGGGCUAGCGUUGCUCGGAAUCACUGGGUGUAAAGCGCACGUAGGCGGACUCUUAAGUCGGUGGUGAAAUCCUGGAGCUCAACUCCAGAACUGCCUUCGAUACUGAGAGUCUCGAGUCCGGGAGAGGUGAGUGGAACUGCGAGUGUAGAGGUGAAAUUCGUAGAUAUUCGCAAGAACACCAGUGGCGAAGGCGGCUCACUGGCCCGGUACUGACGCUGAGGUGCGAAAGCGUGGGGAGCAAACAGG